This 246-nucleotide unclassified non-coding RNA is filed under the name Paraphoma chrysanthemicola. Its description in RNAcentral is "partial internal transcribed spacer region". The stretch from base 1 to 46 matches the Rfam family "Eukaryotic small subunit ribosomal RNA", at positions 1786 to 1831 of the family's 1831-position model. Lineage: Eukaryota; Fungi; Ascomycota; Dothideomycetes; Pleosporales; Phaeosphaeriaceae. The record is from RNAcentral.
AAGUCGUAACAAGGUUUCCGUAGGUGAACCUGCGGAAGGAUCAUUACCUUUCAAUGCAGCAGAAUUGGGAUGGUUGAGUAUCUCGCCUCUCCGUUCUGCCUGUAUUCUACCCUUGUUUGUCAUAUACUAUUCUUUCCUCGGUAGGCUUGCCUGCCGAGUGAAACCAUUUAUAACCUUUUUAAUUUUCAAUCAGCGUCUGAAAAAAAUUAAUAAUUACAACUUUCAACAACGGAUCUCUUGGUUCUG